This 1874-nucleotide long non-coding RNA is filed under the name Homo sapiens (human). Its description in RNAcentral is "HSALNT0036272". The record is from RNAcentral. Lineage: Eukaryota; Metazoa; Chordata; Mammalia; Primates; Hominidae.
AUUUAUUUAACAUGUACACAUGGGAGCCUUCCAAAUGAAGAACCAACUUCCCAAUGAGGUUACAGAAAGAAUGGAGGCUUGGAUCCUGGUAAAACAGGUUAUGGGAGGGAAGAGAAGAGGAAUUCUGUGGAGCAGAUUACUACGGAGAAUGAAUGACUCCAGUAACAGAGAUUAACUUGUAGAUAGUUCUCUUUGGAAUCUGAACAGCCCUUGGAGACAUCAGGAUACUUGGAAAAGGAUCUGCUCAGGUGUGCUUACAUCUUGGUCUUCUUUCCUGCAAUAAACAAUGACAACAGGGAGGGAACAAGAAUAAUUCUUCUCCUUGGUGGGUUUGGGUCUUAGGUGGAUAAAGGAACUCCAGAUUCCAUGGGAGAGACAGUGGGGGUGGGGGAGUCAGAGAGAUCCCAGUUUAACAGGUCAAAACACCAUCUUUGGGGAUGUUGAUUUCUGAGCCCCAACACAACUAUCUAUUUCUGCCACUAAAAUGCUUAUUAAACAAAAAACAACAGAUACCCAUUGGAGAGCUCCUUUCUCUGUUAAUCCACUCGACUAUAAUAAAAUACCAAAGAUGGCUAUAAUAAACUGCUGAGAUGGGAUAAUUCCCUUGACCCCCAUCUCAGGACUUGCAAUAGGGGUGUGGCUCAUUUACUCAGCCUCCCCGUGCUCAAUCCCCGUGCAAGAGGGAGCAUGCGAGUGAGCAGGUGCGGGCCCCAGAGUGAACCAACGCUGGAACUGGCCAAUCACUCCUCUCUGGUGGGAGCAGGCUCUGUGCAGGCCCUGCAUCGGUGUCCAACCAAUGCUCUUUGAGCUCUGCCAUCCUGGGACAGCCAAGUGCCAACCAGCUCAGUGGAGGAUGGCAGCCCUUGCCCUCUCUGCACCCAGGUUCUUGUCCGGCAUCCAGGAAGAAUCAGGUCUCACAAAUGGCUUGAAAGGCAGUGUAUGUGGAGGAUUUUAUUGGGCAAUGGAAGUGGCUCUCAGCGGGAUAGGGAGUUGGAAAGAGGAUGGUGCCCAAAGAAGGUGAUGUUUCCCUGAAGCCUGGCUGUUUCCAGCCAGACCCCUCUCCAAAGCUGCACCGGCUGAAGUUAGCCAUAUCUUUCCAUAGUCUCUGAUGCUCAGUUGCUUCUCUGCUUGCCAUUAAAUCACUUGAAUCCCUGAUGCUUAGCAGCUUGUAUCCCGAGCACUCAGCCGCUUGUGUUGCUCUGCCAGCUGAAGUCUUUUUAUGGGCACAGGAUGGGGCAUGGAAGGCCAAAAAGGCGUCAUUUGGGUGGAAAAACAGGGUCAGCUGUUUUCACUUAGGGCCACAGUUCCAGGCUCAAGGGUGGGGUUUAGUCGGGAGCCCAGUCCUUCUGUAUCAAUACCAAAGACUGCCAUAAUGGAAAUGCCAAAACUGCUAUAGUAAAAUACCAAAGACUGGAUGGCUUAUAACCAACGUUUAUUUCUCACCGUUCUGGAGGCUGGGAAGUCCAAGGUGCUGGCAGGUGCGGUGCUUGGUGAGGGCCAGCUUCCUAGUUCAGACUUGGUUCAGUUUUUUGGUUUGUCCUCAUUAUGAAAAACAGGGACAGACCACCCAGGCUUUCUACAAACGAGUCAGUUUUUUGCCUUUGAAGUUAACCUCUAACCUUGUGAAACGGCGACAGAUAAGGACAUGGGGUUCAAGAAAACGGGGCAUAGUGGAAAAUCAGGGGCAUUAGCACCCAACGAUGUGCGUUGAAACCCUAGUUGUUUUUCUCCUUCCCAGUUGCUGAAAUCAGCCCUUCUGGCCGAUUCGCGGGGUUCUCACCGGGAAGUUGGGGCUGUCGCGACCGUCCGCGGGGCCUCGGGAGCUCCUGUGGGGCUGGGCCCGGGACCUGUCCCCGGGGAGGCCGCCCAGUUUG